ACGUUAAUCGGGGCAGGGUGAGUCGACCCCUAAGGCGAGGCCGAAAGGCGUAGUCGAUGGGAAACAGGUUAAUAUUCCUGUACUUGGUGUUACUGCGAAGGGGGGACGGAGAAGGCUAUGUUAGCCGGGCGACGGUUGUCCCGGUUUAAGCAUGUAGGCUGGUUAUCCAGGCAAAUCCGGAUAAUCAAGGCUGAGGUGUGAUGACGAGGCACUACGGUGCUGAAGUAACAAAUGCCCUGCUUCCAGGAAAAGCCUCUAAGCAUCAGGUAACAUCAAAUCGUACCCCAAACCGACACAGGUGGUCAGGUAGAGAAUACCAAGGCGCUUGAGAGAACUCGGGUGAAGGAACUAGGCAAAAUGGUGCCGUAACUUCGGGAGAAGGCACGCUGGUGUGUAGGUG
This 400-nucleotide ribosomal RNA is filed under the name Klebsiella pneumoniae. RNAcentral's name for it is "partial 23S ribosomal RNA". It matches the Rfam family "Bacterial large subunit ribosomal RNA", at positions 1362 to 1764 of the family's 2925-position model. Lineage: Bacteria; Pseudomonadati; Pseudomonadota; Gammaproteobacteria; Enterobacterales; Enterobacteriaceae. The record is from RNAcentral.